UGUAGCUGCCUAGAUGCUUUAUUUAUUUGCAUCCGGAAGUACAUGUGCAACAGUCUCAGUGCAUUUAAACUGCCCUUACUCUAAAUCUCUACACCCAGUAGGAGUUUCAGGCUGAAAGCAGGCAAUGCAGAGGAUGUAAUGGCUCAAAUGUGCAGCAAACUGCAUGAUUUUAGCCUGAAAACUCUUCCAUGCAUUCCCCAGUGCCUGCAUGUGAUAAAGCUAUGCAGAACAUGAAUGUUUUGUAUUCUAGAGCUUCAGCAUAAAUCAGUGGCAUAUCUGAUUAUGUGUUGUCACGCUUUAUCUAUUCUUUCCUUAUUUUAUUUUCCCCUUCUUUUUCUGUGUGCAGCUGGGUGAAAAGAGAGGUUUGGAGUCUAGAAUAUUUUCACAUGGCCCCUUAUGUUUUAAAGGUUAAGCAAGAGAUCUUCUCUUGCACUUUUUUUGGCCUAAUAAACUUGUAAACAUGCUUUCCAUGCUCUGUGUAACUCCUGUUGUCUCUUCACAAAUGCAGUUAUGUAGUCCUCUAGCAAUUCAGUUGCUCUUCCACAAAGAAACUAAUGCCGGCAAUUCCAGCGGAGUCGUCUGAACAGCAAGGAAGCUGGUGCUUGCUGGCACCAGCUAGAAGCCCGAGUCAAAUAUUUCAGUGCUCACACAUGGUUAGUCUUCAUCAUUUGGUAAUAUGGUUGUCAACACACACGCCAGUCAUUCUAAAAGCACCGAGUACAAUGUGGUGGCAAUGUAUUUCCAGUGUAGGGUUUGCCAGAAUUUAAAAGUGAAACUUCAAGGCAAUGGAAAAUGCACCUUCUCGUUCAAGGGUGUUUUUAAACGUUCCUCUGGGCAGAUGGGUUAGCAGAGUGCAUGACUUGGUGGGAGCAAACUGGCUGGUGACUUCUCAAAGGAAAACCUCAUGGGCACUGCUAUGGUUUUGUGAAUCAGCCUCCACUAAGUUUGCUGUUUGUUUGAGGUAUUGCCAUCAGUCAGCCUGCUCCUCUGCAAGUGGACCCAGGUCAAGUUAUGUUAGCUUUCAGGCCUCUCCUGGAAAGGGCAGAAGUACAAUUUCAGCACUUGACAUCAAUUAGUAUCAAUUAGUAAUUUCUGAGAACUUGAUAAUAAAAGUUUCCUACUCAGAUGUAUGUGACUGAAACUCUGCUGUGAUGCUUUUUGUUUUGCUUUUUUAUAAGGUAUCUGUUACACGUUUACAUGCUUUCCUCAUUAGAGCAUCUCUGGUAUGCUGUGGUAGCACUUGGGCUUUCACUUCUAUCUGCUUUCAGUAGGAGCUUCUUACGUGCCUGCACUGUGUCUGUGCUCUGCUUCAAGGUGUGACAUAAAUACAUAUACACACCAAAGCCUCAUCAUUUCCAGUUCCCUUUACAGGUUGAAUUAGGUGGGGAGUCACAGCACUAGAAGCCACUGGUGGCAGGGAGCAUCUGCACUGCACAGUGCUGUGUUCAGCCCUGCAGCUGCUCUAAGGGCUCAGUAGAGCUCCUGAGCUUGGAGCAGCCAGCCUGCUGCCUCAAAUGGGAGCCAGUUAGUCACCAAGUCCAAAUUUUAGAUGCUGGGCACAUCAUCUUAGUUACUGCCUGCUGCUGGCAGCAGUAUGGGGUUUUGCCAGGUUCGUGUCUGAAACUGUUGAAGCCUUAGCAGCAAGGAACCACAGUCCUGAAUUACAUUGGUAUUCAUACCGCUGUUGCACAGUUCUGUGUCCUUGCCUGUGCAUAAGCACUGCUUAGAAAGUCAGGCAAGGUCUCUGAUGAUGGCAAGCGAAGGAGGUGUAUGCUGUUUAGUUCAGGUGAGCCGACAGUGCAAUGUAACUCUGCCUUCUGGUGCCAAUUCCUAGAAACUCAAACCCAAGAAGCUUCUAGCAUUCUCCUGUUGCAGAAGGUAAUAGACCCAUUUUGGAUGUGCAGUACAGCCUAAAACGUUCUUGGUUUAAUUUGAUGAAGAAGGUAGGUAGAAAUCUUGUUUACACCUGAAGUGAGGUGCACAACCCCCUGUUGGUACAGCAAGGCAGUGCUGCUUCCUUCAGCAAUACAAUAGCCAGUUGUCCAGGAGGGCUGAAGCUCAGUGGCCUUGUGCUGGAGAGAGAGAAAACUCAGCAGGGCAACAAGCUGAAGGAAGAGUGGUCAGUCUGCUCUUUGCAGUGAAGUUCCAUAUUAAAGUUACUUCCAUGUUAAACCCCGGCAAGAUGUCUGUGAGGUACCAUCGACUGCCCCCAGGCUGUUUUUGAGGAGCUGCACUGGUUUGGGCAGAUUUUGGCUUUGACCUUUUGCUGGGUUUGUAACAAACACUACAUGCUCCUAGCAGAUCUGCUGUUUCUUCCUGCCUUGGUGUUUGGGGUUUAUUUUACAUUUUAUGUACAAAUACCUUCAACAUUUUUUGUAUCAAACAUGAGCUGCAAACUGUGUGGAAUUGUUGUUCCUCUCUGACAUUUUUGGUGUGUGAAUAGUUUUCCUCCACGUGUCUUAGAUGAAGAUACAGUGAUGUGGCUGCCAUAGAGAGAGUGACCAAAUGAUUCUGUAACUGUGCUGCUGUAUUUCUACCUGUGAUGUACUUGAAGGAGGAUGCCCUUGUCCACCUCCACCCUCAUUCUUUUUAAUUUCUCUCUUUAUUUCUCUUUUUAUUUUUUGACCAUUGCUGCUGGUGUCCUUUCAUAGUGUCUUCUUUGGGUUUUUUUUUUUUAAUAGCUGCCACCUUUUUCUUUCUUUCCUUGGACAAGUUGUCUUGCGUUGAGAUCUGUACAACUGUGUAGGUUUUACAUGUCCUGAAGAACGGAGGAGCUGCUGGAGGAAGAUGUUUUGGACCAAUGUACUUCUGCUUUGUGACUGUGAAAUGUUAAUCUUUUUGUAACCUAAGAACAAACAAAUGUUUGGUAAAGGGAUAUAUUUUGUGUUUUUUUGAAACUUUUCAGUGCAAUGAACAAAAGAGGAGGAGGAAGAAGAAGUGUAUGCGCAAAGUUUUAAAUAAAAUUUUAAAUUAUAUAUUAUAUAUAUUCAUCUA
Molecule: long non-coding RNA, 2994 nt
Organism: Pezoporus occidentalis (night parrot)
Lineage: Eukaryota; Metazoa; Chordata; Aves; Psittaciformes; Psittacidae
Exons: 2
Source: RefSeq, a predicted model, not a curated record